GGGUCGAGGCCGACGUCCUUGAGCAGCUCAGCGUGGAAUCGAAUGCCGGUGUCGUUCUUGAAACACUCGCGGAUCAUCCACCGGAGGGGGAUCCGCGCCAGAGUGUGUGGCGUAUCGUCCUCGACAGAGCCGCCGCCGAUGUCACAAUGACAGCCGGCGAACCAAACCUCCUUCACGUCGGUGUGGUCUUGGCCGUCACGCGCGUUUUCCGCGUCAAAGUCAUGCUCGUGC
This 231-nucleotide unclassified non-coding RNA is filed under the name Hevea brasiliensis (rubber tree). The record is from RNAcentral. Lineage: Eukaryota; Viridiplantae; Streptophyta; Magnoliopsida; Malpighiales; Euphorbiaceae.